UCGGCCGAAAGCAGGCGUUGAUGUAGUGAUAUUUACACUCGUCGGACAUGCAAAAUGCUAUGCAGAAUGCUCGUGGGCCUGAAAAGAACGAGUUCUCAGACCUUACUGGUGUAAAUGGGAAUUGUUCCGGCGUCGGGGGCGGAAUAUUCCAGGCAGCCACGUUUAUGGUGGUAAACACAGUAAACAAAGGACAUGAACAACAUAAUUAUUAGAUGAGCUGAGGCGCCUUCACGCCGUGCAUCAAUAUUCAGCCAUUAGUAGGGUAAACCCGGACAGGACUUCGGGUUUCCAAGGUGUGCUAGAAAAGCAAGAUGCCAGUGUAGUAUGCUAUGCGAUGCCAUCUUAGAAAACAAAAGGAAACACCGUGACAGAGAGAGAGAGAGAGAGAGAGAGAGAGAGAGAGAGAGAGAGAGAGUGUGUGUGUGUGUGUGUGUGUGUGUGUGUGUGUGUGUGUGUGCGCGCGCGCGCGCGCGCCCCCCCCGUAGUUUUACGUGAGCAUGGGGGUAAAUACUCUGGCCAAAAUUGGGAUGGCGGAAGCAGAAGGAGAGAGGGGGAAAAUCCUUAACACUUGCAGAGUAAAACGAGCAAGUACAAAAUAAAAAACAAAAAAGCUACGUAGGGCGCCAGGGUCGCAGGUAAAGACCGUGAGGCAGGGCUGAUACAGGCGCAGGCCAAACGGCACCGGACCAGGGGCACCUCCGGCUUCUCCGCCGGUGGCUAUACUUCCAGGUCCGAGGAUGUCCGCUCGGCGCGCGUACCUCGGUGCGAGAUUCCCCCGAGCUCUUUGUUAACGGAGGGUGGGGAGAAAGCGGGGCAGGCGCCUAGUGCACGGGCAGCGGCGGCUUGGGGGGUGGGGCGGGGACGGCCCAACGAGUUGCUUGCCUCGCUGCCCUUCCCCCACCGCCCGGCAGCAGCCCCUGCCGGCUGCCCAGGUCUCGUCCCGCUUCACGGCCGGCGCUCCCCGGCCCGGGCAGCUCCGCACGCCUCGCCGCCUGCUGGGCUGCUGAUGCCCUCCAUCCACACAAAGACGCGUGCGCCCGGGCGGGGAGCGCAGGGGCUGGCACGCACCACCCGCGGGCCUUCUGUCUGCAUCCCCUCUCCCGGCCGCCGCCGGCGCACUCCCACGGCCCCCACUCCCUCGUCUCUCGCCUGAGCCGCCAUUUGCUCCUCGCCUCCCCGACUCAGCUACGGGUAAUCUCAGAUCUACUUUCCGUCUCUUCGCAAGAGGAGCAUGGGAAUAUGGAGACAUGAACUGAUUCAAGGAAUCUGGCCUGGGGAAGGCCUCAUGCACAGAUUCUGAGCAGAUAGUGUCUUGUCUUAAAGAGCCUUGGACCAAAUUUACUACCAGCCUUAUCCCGACCCCAUUUCCCCAGCUUCAAAGAGAAUAUAGGUGACCACAGACUCCGAAGUCUUGCAGGUUGGUGCAGAGUUUUGAGAACCUGUUGUACAUCUCUCACCCUUGUUCCAAUGGGUACUAUUUGUUAACACUAGAACUCACACUGUCCCGCAUUUGAUCUUUCCUUCCUCAACCACAAACUUCUACUUCCUUCUACUAUUGUCUUCAGAAUGCCAAUAUUUUGUGUCCCAGUUUCAUCUUGGGCACCAAGGAGUAGGAUGAACUUUAUAGUUCUGAAAUUCUAGGUUCAGAAAAUAGUGCUGUGGAGCACAAGGUGGGUGGGUUUCACUGUCACUCAUGCCUGCACCUGUGAACAGGGAACCUCCUGAGGAAACACAUAUGGUCUCAUCAUAUUCCACAGCCACCCAGCCACAUCUCUCAAGGCCUGACUUCCUUUCGUCCCCACGUCCCACCCUCUGGGCAGAAGUAGCUGAGAAGGUGCUUCUCCAGCUCUUUCCUCUUCCCUGCUUAGCUCUAUUAUAGUUCACUAGGCCAACACUUUUCUUAGAACCAUAGUGUUUCUAUUUAGGGGUCUGGGGAGCAAUUCCAUUUCCCUCUAUCAUCUCACCUGGAUUUUCUGGCUUUCAGAAGAAAAUACUCCACUCAGAGAUCUUGACUUAUUUCUUCCCAAGCAGUGAGUCAUAUUCACAGACAAACCUUAUCUCCUGGGCCACAACCUGGUUGGCUCCCAACUCACAGAAUAUGAUCAAAGACUGUGUGUCUUUGUAUCUAUAUUAACUUGCACAUAAUUCAUUUAAACUUUGGAGAAAAACGCCUCAUCAUAUCCUCCUACCUCCCCACCACUUGUUUUAAUUUUCUCCACAGCUCAUCCGACAUACUAUAACCAUCCUUCCUCCCUCCCUCCUUCCCUUUCUUCUUUCCUUCCUUCCUUUCAUACUCUUUUUCUCUCUCUCCUCAUUGGCCUAUAAACUUUUUGAAGGUAGGGCUUUUGUUUGUUUUGUUCAUUUCUGUAUCCAUAGGACCCAGCUCAAUGCCUGGCACAGGGUACUCAAUAAAUGUUGAAUAAACAAACUGUUGAAUGAA
This is a long non-coding RNA of Neofelis nebulosa (Clouded leopard), 2440 nucleotides long. RefSeq lists it as uncharacterized. The record is from RefSeq and is a predicted model, not a curated record. The transcript is spliced from 2 exons. NCBI's taxonomy places the organism in Eukaryota, Metazoa, Chordata, Mammalia, Carnivora, Felidae.